UGGGGAAUAUUGCACAAUGGGCGCAAGCCUGAUGCAGCAACGCCGCGUGAGGGACGACGGCCUUCGGGUUGUAAACCUCUUUUGGCAGGGAAGAAGCGAAAGUGACGGUACCUGCAGAAAAAGCACCGGCUAACUACGUGCCAGCAGCCGCGGUGAUACGUAGGGUGCAAGCGUUGUCCGGAAUUAUUGGGCGUAAAGAGCUCGUAGGCGGUUUGUCGCGUCUGCUGUGAAAACCCGAGGCUCAACCUCGGGCCUGCAGUGGGUACGGGCAAACUAGAGUGCGGUAGGGGAGAUUGGAAUUCCUGGUGUAGCGGUGGAAUGCGCAGAUAUCAGGAGGAACACCGAUGUCGAAGGCAGAUCUCUGGGCCGUAACUGACGCUGAGGAGCGAAAGCAUGGGGA
This 400-nucleotide ribosomal RNA is filed under the name uncultured bacterium. Its description in RNAcentral is "bacterial SSU rRNA". It matches the Rfam family "Bacterial small subunit ribosomal RNA", at positions 355 to 767 of the family's 1533-position model. The record is from RNAcentral.